Lolium rigidum is the source of this 920-nucleotide long non-coding RNA. RefSeq lists it as uncharacterized. The transcript is spliced from 2 exons. The record is from RefSeq and is a predicted model, not a curated record. NCBI's taxonomy places the organism in Eukaryota, Viridiplantae, Streptophyta, Magnoliopsida, Poales, Poaceae.
UCGAUAGGUCCUACCAGUUUACUUAUGUGUCAUGUUUAGUGCAUGACAAGUGAAUCAAGAUAUCAUUUUGAUAGAGGUUGGUAAGUUAAUUUCUAAUUUGAUAUAGUGAAGUGUAUUUGUUUCUACAUUACUUAUUUUGAGAGCGAGUAUCUGUUUUAAAUUUGCCUUAUUUCGACCAUUUGAUAGUGAGAUGAUACAAUAAUUUCUCAUUUUCGAGUUCUCGUUAUUUGUGAUGCUUUGUGUGAAUUCUCAUGUUUUGAAAAGGAGAUUUCUACAUCCUUAUUAUGCUUCAUGUCCUUUUGGCAAAAUGCAAUAUGAUGGCUGACUGUUCGGUGGUAAGUUUUGGCAUAGAACCACACAUUACAUCAUUGAUCGUUAUUUUGAUCACAUGUACGUGUAUUUAGCACACUUAAGUACAUAAAUGGAUACCUGGUGGUGAUUAUUGAUUAAUCACGAGAGUAGAGCUAAUAAGAAUGCUCCUUUUUACUAAGAAAAUAUAUGCACUUGCCUUUUGUACUUUUUACCCUGUUCUGUUAUUAGGAACAUAUAGCUACAUGGUUGCCUUUGCUGGUACCAUAGUACAUUUUACUAAUUCGUCAUCAAAUUCUUCUCUGUAGAUAAUGGAUACUAAUGUGAUAUGCUUUUGCUUCUGCGGCGUAGAUUAUAUUAGGUUCACCUUGCCGCUGUUAGCGCUGGACGAAAGCUGCUGCUGGCCGAGAAAAUGGUUCUUCACUGCUAAUAUUGGUCUGUUGAUUUGGCCAUGAAAACGGAGAAAGGGCGUCAAGGAGUGCCCCUAAUUUUUUGGUCAUUCUAUUGGUCCUAAGACAAACAACUGUCUUCAUCUGAUGUACAGAUGUGCUUGAAAAGAUUUUAGCAAUCUCAUGUAAUUCCUUUCUAUGUCUAUAUGUUCAUUCUAUUUA